Molecule: long non-coding RNA, 356 nt
Filed under: Prunus persica (peach)
Lineage: Eukaryota; Viridiplantae; Streptophyta; Magnoliopsida; Rosales; Rosaceae
Description: long non-coding RNA (PPER_LNC006145)
Source: RNAcentral
UAGCCAAAGAAAUGUGAGUUUUAAUUUGGAGGAGGAUGAUGAACAAUCUCCACAGACUGUAGAAGAUCCGUUUCCAAGUCAACAACCUAUCCCUAGGAUGCUAGGACAAAACAAGGCAAGAAAGAGAAGCAAAGGGCCAAGGAAAGGGAUGCCAAGGCCGUUGGGGGUGAAAUUGUUUCUGCCUUGCAAACUCUUGUAGAACAAACCACCAAGACAAAAGAGGAAGAGAUAUGAGUAAAUGGAUCAACAACGACAAGAAGAGAUAGAUGAGAGCAGCAUGGCUAGGAAUACCGAAGACAUGACUCCAAACUCUAAAGAGUUUUUUGAGGGGAAAAAAAGGGAAAUUUGAGAGCGAC